GUGUCAGCAGCCGCGGUAAGACAGAGGGUGCAAACGUUGUUCGGAAUUACUGGGCGUAAAGCGCGUGUAGGCGGCUUGGCAAGUCGGGUGUGAAAGCCCUGGGCUCAACCCAGGAAGUGCACUCGAAACUGCUUCGCUCGAGUAUCGGAGAGGAAAGCGGAAUUCUCGGUGUAGAGGUGAAAUUCGUAGAUAUCGAGAGGAACACCGGUGGCGAAGGCGGCUUUCUGGACGAUUACUGACGCUGAGACGCGAAAGCGUGGGGAGCAAACAGGAUUAGAAACCCCUGUAGUCC
RNAcentral lists this ribosomal RNA (292 nucleotides) under uncultured bacterium. RNAcentral describes it as "partial 16S ribosomal RNA". It matches the Rfam family "Bacterial small subunit ribosomal RNA", at positions 505 to 796 of the family's 1533-position model. The record is from RNAcentral.